UAAUUUUAGAGAUGGAGGAAUAAACUAGCUGAUUCAAAUUUUAUAUUCUUUUACCUAACUUCUAUAAUUUUUCCAGUGCCGCGGUUUAUUUUUCGGUAAGGCCAACUAGAAGCUUGAAUUGGUUAUAAGAGUAUUUUAACAGGUUUAUCACAUGCAAAGGCUUAAAAAAUAGUUCACUACUUUCUAAGUACACCAGACCUUUCUUUAGGGCAACAGUUGUUUCUUCUUUCUCUUUCCUUCCUAAUUGUUUAAGAUUUUAGCCUAUUUUUUCCUGCUUUGUGAAUUUUAAGUAGGACCUCAACAAAUUUAAGAACUCCAGCUAGUCAUUAAUCGGUUGAUAGUCUUGCCUAUCUUUAUUCAUUAGUGAGUCUGCUUUUUCUUCUGCACAUUUGUUAAAGUCCAUUUGAUCAUUGAGCCUGUUUUUAACAUGGUUUCCUUAUGGUUUUGCUUUCCUAAUCCGAUUUUAAAGGUCUUCAUGUUAUUUGAGAGUUGCUGAAAACCAUGCUGCUCUUUCCUUGAUGGUUUGGUAGUGAGCAUGGAUGAGCACAGCCUGCUGAACCCUGAGUUCUAAUCUUACGCCUGUAGCUAAGGAAUUGGGGAUGAUUUGGACAAGUCAGUCAAUCUUCUUUGUCUCCAGCUGCUCAAGUGUCAACUGUGGAUAAUAUGACCUGUCUCAAAACCAUGUCAUGCGAUGAAGACGCCAAGGCAAUGACACCUGACAGUCAUAUAGCUGAUAAGGAACAGCGCCAGGACCCAGAGCCAGGCAGUGUGACUGAGCAAGAGUCUGUGCUUUUAACGACUAGGUUUUGCUAGCCCAAAGCACAUACUUGAUACACACUAUAAACACCAUGAAAGCUGGAGCUGCUCUGCAUUAGUCAUCAUCUAUCUACAGUAACUAGCAUGGUAUUUGGCACGUAUCAAAGACUGAAAGAAUAAAUGAAUGAGGUCACCAGAGGUUUAGGAGCAAGGGGUUGCAUUAUCAGCUAACCCUUUUAAGAAGAUUAAGUAGAAAUGGAUACCAUAAGUUAGAGAAGUGAAAAAUAAACAAUUGAAAACUGCUGGCGAUUAUAUGAGUAAGAGUGAAGAGUGAUUAGGGCUGAUGAAGGUAUCUGUCUUGGUGAUGAAAAAAUAAUCAGAUAUUAAAAUACACAGGACUAGUCAACUAGAGAAGCAAUUAAAAAGAAGGAAGCAAAAGAUCUGAGACUCUGAAUCAAAGCCACUGAGAAAUUCGCAGACCAUUAGUCACAAAAAGGUUGAACAACGUUCCGAAAUAUGGAAGCCAGAAGAAACAGCAAUUUUGAAUAGAUUCCUUAGAGAGAGGAACAAAGAGAAGAAAGUAAAAGUAGAUGAUGGAUAGAGAAGGAAAAUUAAGCAUGCCAAAUUAUUGUUCAUUGAGUUUAGGAUUCAAUUUUUUUCGUCUAGUGAAACUACAGCUUUUCAGAAUUGGGGAGAAAAAUGUAAGAAUGCUUGUUCCAUGGCCUUUUCCCUAGGGGCUAAAAAAGUGAGAAGUCAUACUCCAAGCUUCAUUUGCAAGUAUAAAAGGGGCACCAUGUAAUUACACAGCUUCAGUUAGAGAUGCUUUCCGCCCUUUCCAAGUGAUCUAAGAGCUCAGGGAUGCUAUGCCCUAUUCUCCAGUUAGAAAAAAGAUCAGGGAGAACUAUCAAAGAGGGCACCAGAUCUUCCAGGACUAGACCUAAUACCUCUUGGUGUAGGCAUUCCUUGCAAAAAAAAAAAAAAAAA
Molecule: long non-coding RNA, 1740 nt
Filed under: Homo sapiens (human)
Lineage: Eukaryota; Metazoa; Chordata; Mammalia; Primates; Hominidae
Description: HSALNT0294136
Source: RNAcentral